RNAcentral lists this ribosomal RNA (460 nucleotides) under uncultured bacterium. RNAcentral describes it as "partial 16S ribosomal RNA". It matches the Rfam family "Bacterial small subunit ribosomal RNA", at positions 338 to 795 of the family's 1533-position model. The record is from RNAcentral.
CCUACGGGUGGCAGCAGUGAGGAAUAUUGGUCAAUGGGCGCGAGCCUGAACCAGCCAAGUCGCGUGAGGGAUGACUGCCCUACGGAUUGUCAACUUCUUUUAUCAGGGAGUAAAGUGAGGCCCGUGUGCCUUUUUGUAUGUACUUUGUGAAUAAGGAUCGGCUAACUCCGUGCCAGCAGCCGCGGUAAUACGGAGGAUCCGAGCGUUAUCCGGAUUUAUUGGGUUUAAAGGGAGCGUAGAUGGGUUGUUAAGUCAGUUGUGAAAGUUUGCGGCUCAACCGUAAAAUUGCAAUUGAUACUGGCAGUCUUGAGUACAGUUGAGGUAUGCGGAAUUCGUGGUGUAGCGGUGAAAUGCUUAGAUAUCACGAAGAACUCCGAUUGCGAAGGCAGCUUACUAACCUGCCACUGACAUUGAUGCUCGAAAGUGUGGGUAUCAAACAGGAUUAGAUACCCGAGUAGUC